AAACGUCGGGAUUAUGUAGUUUUUAAAUAAUAAAAUCCGCGUAGUAAAUCCGAAUAAUACUAGUUUCAUUUAAAUGAAUACUCGCGAAAAUCUUAGAUCUCAUUAACUUCCAAACAUGCUUAUGUGUAGUAAGCACAAGUUAAUUGAGCAUGACACAGCAUUAUUUAUUUUUAAUUCAAAAUUCUUAUUAAAAUAUGAUUAUUUUGAACUAAUUUGGAGAGACUGAAAGGGAAAAUCAUUUGUUACGUAUAUAACUAACGUGCAGAUUGUUUCCAGGGAAGUAUUUCUAGUUAGUUCUAUUGUUUAAUAUUUACAAAACUAGUCCAAACUAUAUCUAUAAAUUACAAAUAACCUGCAUGCUAUUGAUUGCUGUACAACCUACUUGAUAUAAGCCUGGUUGGUAAAAUUAUAAUAUUUAAUAUAUAUACAUUGUUGUUCUUUCCAACAACUUCCAUAGCAGUUAUUGGAUUAUGGUGAAAAAAAGUUAUAAGUUUUUGUGAUCGAACCUGAACGAAUUGAUGAACACAAGCUGUCAACAAGCGCAUGAGUUGAGAGUGGUAAAAGUUAACUCGCCCAUAAUUUAAUUCAUUUUAUAUAAAAUGAUAUUGUUCAUUACAUGUACUGCCAUUUAUACAGUAUUCGAGGUGAAAUAACCUUGUUCCGUAUUUUCUGAUGAAUACAAAUGAUUUCAUGUUUGUAAAUAAAAUGCCUUCAUAAAUUCA
This is a long non-coding RNA of Danaus plexippus (monarch butterfly), 722 nucleotides long. RefSeq lists it as uncharacterized. NCBI's taxonomy places the organism in Eukaryota, Metazoa, Arthropoda, Insecta, Lepidoptera, Nymphalidae. The transcript has 2 exons. The record is from RefSeq and is a predicted model, not a curated record.